AGUGAACGCUGGCGGUAGGCCUAACACAUGCAAGUCGAACGGCAGCACAGUAAGAGCUUGCUCUUACGGGUGGCGAGUGGCGGACGGGUGAGGAAUACAUCGGAAUCUACUUUUUCGUGGGGGAUAACGUAGGGAAACUUACGCUAAUACCGCAUACGACCUACGGGUGAAAGCAGGGGAUCUUCGGACCUUGCGCGAUUGAAUGAGUCGAUGUCGGAUUAGCUAGUUGGCGGGGUAAAGGCCCACCAAGGCGACGAUCCGUAGCUGGUCUGAGAGGAUGAUCAGCCACACUGGAACUGAGACACGGUCCAGACUCCUACGGGAGGCAGCAGUGGGGAAUAUUGGACAAUGGGCGCAAGCCUGAUCCAGCCAUACCGCGUGGGUGAAGAAGGCCUUCGGGUUGUAAAGCCCUUUUGUUGGGAAAGAAAAGCAGCAGGUUAAUACCCCGCUGUUCUGACGGUACCCGAAGAAUAAGCACCGGCUAACUUCGUG
Molecule: ribosomal RNA, 492 nt
Filed under: uncultured bacterium
Lineage: Bacteria
Description: partial 16S ribosomal RNA
Rfam family: Bacterial small subunit ribosomal RNA
Source: RNAcentral